GUCCACGCCGUAAACGAUGAGAACUAGGUGUCGUGGGUGUUGACCCCUGCGGUGCCGUAGCUAACGCAUUAAGUUCUCCGCCUGGGAAGUACGGCCGCAAGGUUAAAACUCAAAGGAAUUGACGGGGGCCCGCACAAGCGGUGGAGCAUGUGGUUUAAUUCGACGCAACGCGCAGAACCUUACCCAGAUUUGACAUCCUGGAAAGCUGGCCCAAAGUCGGCGUGCCCGCAAGGGAAUCCAGAGACAGGUGCUGCAUGGCUGUCGU
Molecule: ribosomal RNA, 265 nt
Filed under: uncultured bacterium
Lineage: Bacteria
Description: partial 16S ribosomal RNA
Rfam family: Bacterial small subunit ribosomal RNA
Source: RNAcentral